Molecule: small nuclear RNA, 107 nt
Filed under: Suricata suricatta (meerkat)
Lineage: Eukaryota; Metazoa; Chordata; Mammalia; Carnivora; Herpestidae
Source: RNAcentral
GUGCUCGCUUCGGCAGCACAUAUACUAAAAUUGGAAUGAUACAGAGAAGAUCAGCAUGGCCCCUGUGCAAGGUUGACACGCAAAUCUGUGAAGCAUUCCAUAUAAAA